AGCGGCGGAUGGGUGAGUAACACGUGGGGAACCUGCCCCUAAGUCUGGGAUACCAUUUGGAAACAGGUGCUAAUACCGGAUAAUAAAGCAGAUCGCAUGAUCAGCUUUUGAAAGGCGGCGUAAGCUGUCGCUAAGGGAUGGCCCCGCGGUGCAUUAGCUAGUUGGUAAGGUAACGGCUUACCAAGGCGACGAUGCAUAGCCGAGUUGAGAGACUGAUCGGCCACAUUGGGACUGAGACACGGCCCAAACUCCUACGGGAGGCAGCAGUAGGGAAUCUUCCACAAUGGACGCAAGUCUGAUGGAGCAACGCCGCGUGAGUGAAGAAGGUUUUCGGAUCGUAAAGCUCUGUUGUUGGUGAAGAAGGAUAGAGGUAGUAACUGGCCUUUAUUUGACGGUAAUCAACCAGAAAGUCACGGCUAACUACGUGCCAGCAGCCGCGGUAAUACGUAGGUGGCAAGCGUUGUCCGGAUUUAUUGGGCGUAGAGCAAGCGCAGGCGGAAAGAUAAGUCUAAUGUGAAAGCCCUCGGCUUAACCGAGGAACUGCAUCGGAAACUGUUUUUCUUGAGUGCAGAAGAGGAGAGUGGAACUCCAUGUGUAGCGGUGGAAUGCGUAGAUAUAUGGAAGAACACCAGUGGCGAAAGGCGGCUCUCUGGUCUGCAACUGACGCUGAGGCUCGAAAGCAUGGGUAGCGAACAGGAUUAGAUACCCUGGGUAGUCCAUGCCGUAACGAUGAGUGCUAAGUGU
RNAcentral lists this ribosomal RNA (744 nucleotides) under uncultured bacterium. RNAcentral's name for it is "bacterial SSU rRNA". It matches the Rfam family "Bacterial small subunit ribosomal RNA", at positions 94 to 823 of the family's 1533-position model. The record is from RNAcentral.